This is a long non-coding RNA of Oreochromis aureus, 513 nucleotides long. NCBI's taxonomy places the organism in Eukaryota, Metazoa, Chordata, Actinopteri, Cichliformes, Cichlidae. The record is from Ensembl.
AAAAUAUCCAAACUACUGAUUGCCAUGGAGAAAGGGUCUCUCAAAAGCCUUCAAGGCAAAACACUUGAAGAGAUUGAAAUCGAAGAUAACCUACAGUUGACAGAUUCAAGUGAAGAAAGUGAGGUCGGAGUGGAGCGUGAGGAGGUCGGAGCGGAGCGUGAGGAGGUCGGAGCGGAGCGUGAGGAGGUCGGAGCGGAGCGUGAGGUCAAUGAAGGAAAUCUUGUAUAUCCACAGAUUGAUUCUAUAGAUACUAGAAUGAUGAAGAAAGUUGUCAAGGAACCUCCAGCACAAAGUAAAAAUGGAGCGGGUAAGGUCAUUGAACCCAACAGAAUACUAAACAAGGAGAUGAAGCCAAGCAGUAAGAAGAAAACAAAUAAACAAUCUGGUAAAUGGUGACAUGCAUACAAAAGUCACUUAAGCACAAAUGUAAACUUCAUGCAUUUUUGAACCCAGUUAUCCACACCACCCAAGCCAGUAUGGUGACUAUGCUCAUCUUUCUGCCAGGGACCGUAC